GAUGUAGCUUGGUGGUAGAGCACUUGCCUAGCACACAUAAAGUCCUGGGUUCAAUUCCCAGCACA
This 65-nucleotide transfer RNA is filed under the name Marmota monax (woodchuck). RNAcentral's name for it is "tRNA.Ala". It matches the Rfam family "tRNA", at positions 6 to 65 of the family's 71-position model. Rfam says of the family: Transfer RNA (tRNA) molecules are approximately 80 nucleotides in length. Their secondary structure includes four short double-helical elements and three loops (D, anti-codon, and T loops). Lineage: Eukaryota; Metazoa; Chordata; Mammalia; Rodentia; Sciuridae. The record is from RNAcentral.